Molecule: transfer RNA, 88 nt
Filed under: Candidatus Saccharimonadota bacterium
Lineage: Bacteria; Candidatus Saccharimonadota
Also listed under: 1 other name
Description: tRNA-Ser
Rfam family: tRNA
About the family: Transfer RNA (tRNA) molecules are approximately 80 nucleotides in length. Their secondary structure includes four short double-helical elements and three loops (D, anti-codon, and T loops). Further hydrogen bonds mediate the characteristic L-shaped molecular structure. tRNAs have two regions of fundamental functional importance: the anti-codon, which is responsible for specific mRNA codon recognition, and the 3' end, to which the tRNAs corresponding amino acid is attached (by aminoacyl-tRNA synthetases). tRNAs cope with the degeneracy of the genetic code in two manners: having more than one tRNA (with a specific anti-codon) for a particular amino acid; and 'wobble' base-pairing, i.e. permitting non-standard base-pairing at the 3rd anti-codon position.
Source: RNAcentral
GGAAGGGUGCAGGAGUGGUUGAACUGGCCGCUCUCGAAAAGCGGUAAAUGGCAACAUUUCGAGGGUUCGAAUCCCUCCCCUUCCGCCA